CAAGUCCGAGAAGCUAGAAUUGAUUUUCUAACACAUGAAUAUGAAAUCUUUAUAAUGGAGAAGGAAUCCAUCGGUCAUAUGUUCGAACGAUUCUCAAAAAUCUUCAACGACCUUCAUGCUCUCGGGGAAGUGUACACGAACAAAGAUCUUGUUCGAAAAAUCCUACGGAGCCUCACUCCCGAAUGGCGUUCCAAAGCCGAUGCCAUCCAA
This 210-nucleotide long non-coding RNA is filed under the name Nicotiana benthamiana. RNAcentral describes it as "long non-coding RNA (NBEN_LNC017503)". The record is from RNAcentral. Lineage: Eukaryota; Viridiplantae; Streptophyta; Magnoliopsida; Solanales; Solanaceae.